This 373-nucleotide ribosomal RNA is filed under the name uncultured bacterium. RNAcentral describes it as "partial 16S ribosomal RNA". It matches the Rfam family "Bacterial small subunit ribosomal RNA", at positions 338 to 728 of the family's 1533-position model. The record is from RNAcentral.
CCUACGGGUGGCAGCAGUGGGGGAUAUUGCACAAUGGGGGGAACCCUGAUGCAGCGACGCCGCGUGGGUGAAGAAGCGCCUCGGCGCGUAAAGCCCUGUCAGCAGGGAAGAAAAUGACGGUACCUGAAGAAGAAGCCCCGGCUAACUACGUGCCAGCAGCCGCGGUAAUACGUAGGGGGCAAGCGUUAUCCGGAUUUACUGGGUGUAAAGGGGGCGCAGACGGCGAGGCAAGCCAGGAGUGAAAGCCCGGGGCCCAACCCCGGGACUGCUUUUGGAACUGCGUGGCGGGAGUGCAGGAGGGGCAGGGGGAAUUCGGGGGGGAGAGGGGAAAGGCGUAGAUAUAAGGAGGAACACCGGGGGCGAGGGGGGCCUG